RNAcentral lists this ribosomal RNA (740 nucleotides) under uncultured bacterium. RNAcentral's name for it is "bacterial SSU rRNA". It matches the Rfam family "Bacterial small subunit ribosomal RNA", at positions 356 to 1086 of the family's 1533-position model. The record is from RNAcentral.
AGGGAAUCUUCCACAAUGGGCGCAAGCCUGAUGGAGCAACGCCGCGUGUGUGAUGAAGGCUUUCGGGUCGUAAAGCACUGUUGUAUGGGAAGAAAUGCUAAAAUAGGGAAUGAUUUUAGUUUGACGGUACCAUACCAGAAAGGGACGGCUAAAUACGUGCCAGCAGCCGCGGUAAUACGUAUGUCCCGAGCGUUAUCCGGAUUUAUUGGGCGUAAAGCGAGCGCAGACGGUUGAUUAAGUCUGAUGUGAAAGCCCGGAGCUCAACUCCGGAAUGGCAUUGGAAACUGGUUAACUUGAGUGUUGUAGAGGUAAGUGGAACUCCAUGUGUAGCGGUGGAAUGCGUAGAUAUAUGGAAGAACACCAGUGGCGAAGGCGGCUUACUGGACAACAACUGACGUUGAGGCUCGAAAGUGUGGGUAGCAAACAGGAUUAGAUACCCUGGUAGUCCACACCGUAAACGAUGAAUACUAGGUGUUAGGAGGUUUCCGCCUCUUAGUGCCGAAGCUAACGCAUUAAGUAUUCCGCCUGGGGAGUACGACCGCAAGGUUGAAACUCAAAGGAAUUGACGGGGACCCGCACAAGCGGUGGAGCAUGUGGUUUAAUUCGAAGCAACGCGAAGAACCUUACCAGGUCUUGACAUCCUUUGAAGCUUUUAGAGAUAGAAGUGGUCUCUUCGGAGACAAAGUGACAGGUGGUGCAUGGUCGUCGUCAGCUCGUGUCGUGAGAUGUUGGGUUAAGUC